Molecule: non-coding RNA, 291 nt
Organism: Pelobates cultripes (western spadefoot toad)
Lineage: Eukaryota; Metazoa; Chordata; Amphibia; Anura; Pelobatidae
Source: the annotation of a GenBank genome assembly
CAGCAGGCUAAAGUAUUUUAGGGGUCUGAAGUGUUACUUUUAAUCCUUGAUCGGGUUUUAGCUUCCUUGUGCCUUGAUGGAAGGAAUCGAGACCUAUUGCAUAUCACACUAAUCCCAAAUCUUGUCAGCCACUCUCUGUGUUAAAAAAGCAGCAACCCACACAGACAACAUUGUAUGCCUUUCUUAAGGCCUUGUCAAUGAGGCGCAGAUUAUGUCUCUGUGGACAGGGAGCAAGGGGUUCAUGUUUUUAUUACCCGCUAGAGUUAAGGAGCCUAAGAUCAUGCAAACUAC